GAUGAACGCUGGCGGCGUGCCUAAUACAUGCAAGUCGAGCGAACGGACGAGAAGCUUGCUUUUCUGAUGUUAGCGGCGGACGGGUGAGUAACACGUGGAUAACCUACCUAUAAGACUGGGAUAACUUCGGGAAACCGGAGCUAAUACCGGAUAAUAUUUUGAACCGCAUGGUUCAAAAGUGAAAGACGGUCUUGCUGUCACUUAUAGAUGGAUCCGCGCUGCAUUAGCUAGUUGGUAAGGUAACGGCUUACCAAGGCAACGAUGCAUAGCCGACCUGAGAGGGUGAUCGGCCACACUGGAACUGAGACACGGUCCAGACUCCUACGGGAGGCAGCAGUAGGGAACCUUCCGCAAAGGGCGAAAGCCUGACGGAGCAACGCCGCGUGAGUGAUGAAGGUCUUCGGAUCGUAAAACUCUGUUAUUAGGGAAGAACAUAUGUGUAAGUAACUGUGCACAUCUUGACGGUACCUAAUCAGAAAGCCACGGCUAACUACGUG
RNAcentral lists this ribosomal RNA (497 nucleotides) under uncultured bacterium. Its description in RNAcentral is "partial 16S ribosomal RNA". It matches the Rfam family "Bacterial small subunit ribosomal RNA", at positions 28 to 507 of the family's 1533-position model. The record is from RNAcentral.